UCCACCCGUCUUGGCCUCCCAAAGUGCUGGGAUUACAGGCAUGAGCCACCGCACCCAUCAGUGAUAUUGUUUUAGUCAAGAAAAUAUUGACUACAAAUAGCUAUUCUGAAUAUAAGGAUAUCAGAAGAAUAAUUCAUGUGAAUCCAAACAUUUUCCAUCCCCCUAAAAACUCUUAUCAGUGUGACUCAUUUGGAAAUUGUUUGAAGUAUAAUUUACAUUUACAUAUUCUUAAUAGAAAUGAUGCUUCAAAAAAUGUUAGGAAGAGUACUAAGUAUGGUAAAAUGUCUUUCUAUAUUUACUGUGAAUGUACUCCAACAGGAGAGAAAUUAUGGGACCAUAAUAAUCUACGUAGAAAAAUUCUCAGUUAUAAACCAGCCUCCUCGCAAGAUCAAAAAAUUUAUCCUGGGGAAAAAUCCUAUGAGUGUGCCAAAUUUGAAAAGAUAUUCACCCAGAAGUCACAAUUCAAGGUACACCCGAAGGUUCCUUCAGGAGAAAAACUCUAUGUAUGUACUGAAUGCGGGAGGGCUUUUGUGCAGAAGCCAGACUUCAUUACACAUCAGAAAACCCAUACGAGAGAGAAGCCCUAUAAGUGCAAUGCAUGUGGAAAAUCCUUUUUUCAAGUAUCAUCUCUUUUCAGGCAUCAGAGAAUUCAUACCGGAGAAAAACUCUAUGAAUGUAGUGAAUGUGGGAAAGGCUUCCCUUAUAACUCAGAUCUCAGCAUACAUGAGAAAAUUCAUACUGGAGAGAGACACCAUGAAUGCACUGAAUGUGGCAAAGCAUUCACACAAAAGUCCACACUCAAGAUGCAUCAGAAAAUCCAUACAGGUGAGAGAUCCUAUAUCUGUAUUGAAUGCGGACAGGCCUUCAUUCAGAAGACACAAUUGAUUGCACACCGAAGAAUUCAUACUGGAGAAAAGCCAUAUGAGUGUAGUAACUGUGGGAAAUCCUUCAUUUCCAAGUCACAACUUCAGGUACAUCAACGCAUUCACACAAGAGUAAAACCCUAUAUAUGUACUGAAUAUGGGAAGGUCUUUAGCAAUAAUUCCAACCUCAUUACACAUGAGAAAAUUCAAAGUAGAGAGAAAUCUUCCAUAUGUACUGACUGUGGGAAGGCCUUUACCUACAGGUCAGAGUUGAUUAUACAUCAGAGAAUUCACACUGGAGAGAAACCUUAUAAAUGCAGUGACUGUGGAAAAGCCUUCACUCAGAAAUCAACACUCACAGUGCAUCAGAGAAUUCAUACAGGAGAAAAAUCAUAUGUAUGCACCAAAUGUGGACUGGCCUUCAUCCGGAAGGCACACUUGAUUACACAUCAAAUAAUUCAUACUGGAGAGAAACCUUAUAAAUGUGGUUACUGUGGGAAAUUGUUUACCUCCAAGUCACAACUCCAUGUUCACAAACGAAUUCACACGGGAGAAAAGCCCUAUGUAUGCAAUAAAUGUGGGAAGGCAUUCACCAACCAGUCAAAUCUCAUUACACAUCAGAAAACUCAUACAGGGGAGAAAUCUUAUCUAUGUUCCAAAUGUGGAAAGGCCUUCACCCAGAGGUCAGACUUGAUUACACAUCAGAGAAUCCAUACUGGGGAGAAACCUUAUGAAUGCAGUACUUGUGGAAAAGCCUUUACCCAGAAGUCAAAUCUUAAUAUACACCAGAAAAUUCAUACUGGAGAGAGACAGUAUGAAUGCCAUGAAUGUGGGAAAGCCUUCAACCAGAAAUCAGUCCUCAUUGUUCAUCAGAAAAUUCACACGGGAGAGAAACCCUACGUAUGCACUGAGUGUGGAAGAGCUUUCAACCGCAAGUCAAACUUUAUUACUCAUCAAAGAAUUCAUACUGGAGAGAAGCCUUAUGAAUGCAGUGACUGUGGGAAGUCCUUUACCUCCAAGUCUCAGCUCCUGGUGCAUCAGCCAGUUCACACAGGAGAGAAACCCUAUGUGUGUGCUGAGUGUGGGAAGGCCUUUAGUGGCAGGUCAAAUCUCAGUAAGCACCAGAAAACUCAUACCGGAGAAAAGCCCUACAUUUGCUCUGAAUGUGGGAAGACCUUCAGACAGAAGUCAGAGUUGAUUACACAUCACAGAAUUCAUACUGGAGAGAAACCUUAUGAGUGCAGUGACUGUGGGAAGUCUUUCACUAAAAAGUCACAGCUCCAGGUGCAUCAACGAAUUCACACUGGAGAGAAGCCUUAUGUGUGUGCUGAGUGUGGGAAGGCCUUUAGCAACAGGUCGAAUUUGAAUAAACACCAGACCACACACACUGGAAACAAACCCUACAAGUGUGGCAUCUGUGGGAAAGGGUUUGUUCAGAAAUCGGUGCUCAGUGUCCAUCAGAGCAUUCACGCUUGAGAGAAACAGUGUGAGAAAACCCCGCUGAGGGAUGGGUCUGAUCGUACAUUGUUACAUUCAUGCAGCAGAAAAAUGUAUACUAUCAUAAGUAGGAAUGACCACAUCAGCAUGUCACAUAACACUGUUCUGGAGAGAGUCUCUCUGAAGGCACUCAAUGAGGCAAGUGACCCUUCCAGCCUUGUCAUCAGCCUCAAUAAAUCUUGGGGCAUUAUUCAUACUGAGAAGGAACUCAGUCAGUUUGGUGAAUAGGAAAAGCCUUCUCAUCUAAUGAAAACUACAAUGGAACACUUACCAAAUUCUUCAUAGAAAAGAUUAUAUUAUGGGAACGAUAAUCCUGUGUACUGUGGAUGGGGUAUAGUGCCAACAGUUUGAAUGGUAAGACAACAUAAUAUAUAAGAUAGCGA
Molecule: RNA transcript, 2743 nt
Organism: Sapajus apella (tufted capuchin)
Lineage: Eukaryota; Metazoa; Chordata; Mammalia; Primates; Cebidae
Gene name: zinc finger protein 585B pseudogene
Exons: 1
Source: RefSeq, a predicted model, not a curated record